GGGGAUUUAGCUUAGUGGUAGAGCGCUUGCCUAGCAAGCACAAGGUCCUGGGUUCAGUCUCCA
RNAcentral lists this transfer RNA (63 nucleotides) under Rattus norvegicus (Norway rat). It matches the Rfam family "tRNA". Rfam says of the family: Transfer RNA (tRNA) molecules are approximately 80 nucleotides in length. Their secondary structure includes four short double-helical elements and three loops (D, anti-codon, and T loops). Further hydrogen bonds mediate the characteristic L-shaped molecular structure. tRNAs have two regions of fundamental functional importance: the anti-codon, which is responsible for specific mRNA codon recognition, and the 3' end, to which the tRNAs corresponding amino acid is attached (by aminoacyl-tRNA synthetases). tRNAs cope with the degeneracy of the genetic code in two manners: having more than one tRNA (with a specific anti-codon) for a particular amino acid; and 'wobble' base-pairing, i.e. permitting non-standard base-pairing at the 3rd anti-codon position. Lineage: Eukaryota; Metazoa; Chordata; Mammalia; Rodentia; Muridae. The record is from Rfam by way of RNAcentral.